CGGCAACAGCUCAAAUUUGAAAUCUGGCUCUCUCAGGGUCCGAGUUGUAAUUUGUAGAAGAUGCUUCGGGUGUGGUACCGGUCUAAGUUCCUUGGAACAGGACGCCAUAGAGGGUGAGAGCCCCGUCUGGUCGGAUACCGCGUCUCUGUAAAGCUCCUUCGAC
This 163-nucleotide ribosomal RNA is filed under the name Sclerotiniaceae sp. RNAcentral's name for it is "partial large subunit ribosomal RNA". It matches the Rfam family "Eukaryotic large subunit ribosomal RNA", at positions 99 to 261 of the family's 3401-position model. The record is from RNAcentral. Lineage: Eukaryota; Fungi; Ascomycota; Leotiomycetes; Helotiales; Sclerotiniaceae.